CCCUCGAUAGCUCAGUUGGAAGAGCGCAAGACUGUAAUGGUUAAAUAGUUACGUAAUCUUGAUGUCGCUGGUUCGAUCCCGGCUCGAGGGA
This 91-nucleotide transfer RNA is filed under the name Fibroporia radiculosa. It matches the Rfam family "tRNA". Rfam says of the family: Transfer RNA (tRNA) molecules are approximately 80 nucleotides in length. Their secondary structure includes four short double-helical elements and three loops (D, anti-codon, and T loops). The record is from Rfam by way of RNAcentral. Lineage: Eukaryota; Fungi; Basidiomycota; Agaricomycetes; Polyporales; Fibroporiaceae.